This is a small nuclear RNA of Hypanus sabinus (Atlantic stingray), 104 nucleotides long. The record is from RefSeq and is a predicted model, not a curated record. Lineage: Eukaryota; Metazoa; Chordata; Chondrichthyes; Myliobatiformes; Dasyatidae.
AUGCACAAAUACUGGAAGCACAUAUACUAAAACUGGAAUGAUACAGAGAAGAUUAGCAUGGCCCCUGCGCAAGGAUGACAUACAAAUUAGUGUCCCAUAUUUUU